This 897-nucleotide ribosomal RNA is filed under the name uncultured bacterium. RNAcentral describes it as "bacterial SSU rRNA". It matches the Rfam family "Bacterial small subunit ribosomal RNA", at positions 1 to 916 of the family's 1533-position model. The record is from RNAcentral.
UAGAGUUUGAUCCUGGCUCAGAACGAACGUUGGCGGCGUGGAUUAGGCAUGCAAGUCGAGCGAGGACUAUCUAAGUAGCAAUACUCAGGUAGAGCCGAGCGGCGUAAGGGGCAGUAAUACCUGGGGACGUACCCCUCAGUCGGGAAUAGCCGCGGGAAACCGCGGGUAAUGCCCGAUAACACUGAGAAGUCAAAGGCUUGCCGCUGGGGGAGCGGCCCAGGCGCUAUUAGCUGGUUGGUGGGGUAACGGCCUACCAAGGCGAAGAUGGCUAGCGGGUGUGAGAGCACGACCCGCGCCACUGGCACUGAGACACUGGCCAGACACCUACGGGUGGCUGCAGUCGAGGAUCUUCGGCAAUGAGCGCAAGCUUGACCGAGCGACGCCGCGUGCGGGAUGAAGGCCUUCGGGUUGUAAACCGCUUUGGUCCAGAAGUAAGGCCGAGCAAUCGGCUUGAACAACUGGAGAAACAAGCACGGGCUAAGUUCGUGCCAGCAGCCGCGGUAAGACGAACCGUGCGAACGUUGUUCGGAAUCACUGGGCUUAAAGGGCGCGUAGGCGGCCGGGUUGGUCGUGGGUGAAAUCCCCCAGCUUAACUGGGGAAUUGCCUACGAUACUGCCUGGCUCGAGGGAGGAAGGGGCGGCCGGAACUGUCGGUGGAGCGGUGAAAUGCGUUGAGAUCGACAGGAACGCCGGUGGCGAAAGCGGGCCGCUGGCCCUCUUCUGACGCUGAGGCGCGAAAGCCAGGGGAGCGAACGGGAUUAGAUACCCCGGUAGUCCUGGCCUUAAACGAUGGGCACUAGGUAGUGGGCUCGACCUGGGCGCACUGCCGCAGCGAAAGUCAUUAGUGCCCCGCCUGGGGAGUAUGGUCGCAAGGCUGAAACUCAAAGGAAUUGACGG